This 29-nucleotide non-coding RNA is filed under the name Bombyx mori (domestic silkworm). The record is from RNAcentral. Lineage: Eukaryota; Metazoa; Arthropoda; Insecta; Lepidoptera; Bombycidae.
CAGAAGUCGACCAUCGUCUUCACGGUUGG